UUGAAUGAAUUUGGAGUUUGGUUGUCGCUGGCCCCCAAAUCCAAGGGCAUGUGCACGCCUUCUCCUUCAUCCACACACACCUGUGCACUUGUGAGACGGAGGGAUUAAUUUUCCUCUGUCUACUUAAUCACACAAACUCAUCCUACUUGAACUGAAUGUAAUUGAUGUAACACAUCAUUUGAAC
This 184-nucleotide unclassified non-coding RNA is filed under the name uncultured Ceratobasidiaceae. RNAcentral describes it as "sequence contains ITS1". The record is from RNAcentral. Lineage: Eukaryota; Fungi; Basidiomycota; Agaricomycetes; Cantharellales; Ceratobasidiaceae.